GCGCGAGUGGCGGAAUUGGCAGACGCGCAGGAUUCAGGUUCCUGUGCCCGAAAGGGUGUGAGGGUUCAAGUCCCUCCUCGCGCACCA
Molecule: transfer RNA, 87 nt
Filed under: Acidobacteriota bacterium
Lineage: Bacteria; Pseudomonadati; Acidobacteriota
Also listed under: 4 other names
Description: Acidobacteria bacterium tRNA-Leu
Rfam family: tRNA
About the family: Transfer RNA (tRNA) molecules are approximately 80 nucleotides in length.
Source: RNAcentral